This 206-nucleotide unclassified non-coding RNA is filed under the name uncultured Eurotiomycetes. Its description in RNAcentral is "sequence contains ITS1". The record is from RNAcentral. Lineage: Eukaryota; Fungi; Ascomycota; Eurotiomycetes.
ACGAGUUACGGGUUUCUCUUCGGAGAGCCCGAACCUCCCAACCCUUUGUUUAUUCCAACCUUUUUGUUGCUUCGGCGGACCCGUCUGUUCGCGAGAACGAGACCGCCGGGGGAGAAAUCCUCUGGCCCGCGUCCGCCGAUGGCCCUGAUUUAAAACUCUUGAAAAUAACCAUGUCUAUUCUCUGAGUAACAAACACAAUUAAAUUA